AACGCUAGCUACAGGCUUAACACAUGCAAGUCGAGGGGCAGCAUGGUCUUAGCUUGCUAAGGCCGAUGGCGACCGGCGCACGGGUGAGUAACACGUAUCCAACCUGCCGUCUACUCUUGGACAGCCUUCUGAAAGGAAGAUUAAUACAAGAUGGCAUCAUGAGUCCGCAUGUUCACAUGAUUAAAGGUAUUCCGGUAGACGAUGGGGAUGCGUUCCAUUAGAUAGUAGGCGGGGUAACGGCCCACCUAGUCUUCGAUGGAUAGGGGUUCUGAGAGGAAGGUCCCCCACAUUGGAACUGAGACACGGUCCAAACUCCUACGGGAGGCAGCAGUGAGGAAUAUUGGUCAAUGGGCGAGAGCCUGAACCAGCCAAGUAGCGUGAAGGAUGACUGCCCUAUGGGUUGUAAACUUCUUUUAUAAAGGAAUAAAGUCGGGUAUGGAUACCCGUUUGCAUGUACUUUAUGAAUAAGGAUCGGCUAACUCCGUGCCAGCAGCCGCGGUAAUACGGAGGAUCCGAGCGUUAUCCGGAUUUAUUGGGUUUAAAGGGAGCGUAGAUGGAUGUUCAAGUCAGUUGUGAAAGUUUGCGGCUCAACCGUAAAAUUGCAGUUGAUACUGGAUAUCUUGAGUGCAGUUGAGGCAGGCGGAAUUCGUGGUGUAGCGGUGAAAUGCUUAGAUAUCACGAAGAACUCCGAUUG
RNAcentral lists this ribosomal RNA (694 nucleotides) under uncultured bacterium. Its description in RNAcentral is "bacterial SSU rRNA". It matches the Rfam family "Bacterial small subunit ribosomal RNA", at positions 32 to 715 of the family's 1533-position model. The record is from RNAcentral.